RNAcentral lists this long non-coding RNA (227 nucleotides) under Lathyrus oleraceus (garden pea). RNAcentral describes it as "Pisum sativum (pea) long non-coding RNA (PSAT_LNC017471)". The record is from RNAcentral. Lineage: Eukaryota; Viridiplantae; Streptophyta; Magnoliopsida; Fabales; Fabaceae.
AAAUUUACAUGUUGUUUGUAUACUUUGGUGCUUAAAUCAUGUAUACAUGACCUUCAGAAGUAAGACAUGUCCUUAUGUUUAUUUGGAUGUGAUGUUGUUGCUCAUUUUGAUUUUAUAACUUUUCAUUUUCUUGUAUCCUUCUUCCAUGACUUGAUAUGGAUUACUCUAUUCAUAUUUCAUCUAUUCUUCCAUGACUUAAUAUGUUUUGUUUAGUUUAUAUCUUUUUG